GAUGAACGCUGGCGGCGUGCCUAAUACAUGCAAGUCGAGCGAACAGACGAGGAGCUUGCUCCUCUGACGUUAGCGGCGGACGGGUGAGUAACACGUGGAUAACCUACCUAUAAGACUGGGAUAACUUCGGGAAACCGGAGCUAAUACCGGAUAAUAUAUUGAACCGCAUGGUUCAAUAGUGAAAGACGGUUUUGCUGUCACUUAUAGAUGGAUCCGCGCCGCAUUAGCUAGUUGGUAAGGUAACGGCUUACAAAGGCAACGAUGCGUAGCCGACCUGAGAGGGUGAUCGGCCCCACUGGAACUGAGACACGGUCCAGACUCCUACGGGAGGCAGCAGUAGGGAAUCUUCCGCAAUGGGCGAAAGCCUGACGGAGCAACGCCGCGUGAGUGAUGAAGGUCUUCGGAUCGUAAAACUCUGUUAUUAGGGAAGAACAAAUGUGUAAGUAACUAUGCACGUCUUGACGGUACCUAAUCAGAAAGCCACGGCUAACUACGUG
This 497-nucleotide ribosomal RNA is filed under the name uncultured bacterium. Its description in RNAcentral is "partial 16S ribosomal RNA". It matches the Rfam family "Bacterial small subunit ribosomal RNA", at positions 28 to 507 of the family's 1533-position model. The record is from RNAcentral.